UUUUUUUUUUUUUUUUGUAAAGGGAAAAUGGUAAUACCUAUCUCAUGGAGGUUAUUGUGAAGGUGAAAUGUGCAGGUAUGGGGUAUUUCAGAUUCAAGAUUUAUUUGUUCCUGUCCUUUGAUAGGACAGUGUGUUAUAUGAUCUGUUUGAAAAUACCUGGUCGGAGAUUUAGCUGGAGAGUGUGCUGUAUCCACUUUGUCCAUUUAUUCUUUCAUUGAUUCACUUGUUCAUUCACCAAGCCUUGGCCACUAAGUGUGUGACACUGGAUGGGUGUUGGGGAUACAGCCAUGCCCUGCCCUUGCCAGUGUAGUGGGGAUGCCUACCGCAAAUGCCAAUUACAUUCCAGUGUGGAUACUCACCACGCUGGGGGAAGUCAAGUGCUGUGGAAGCAUUUGGAGAGUCAGUCAACUUAGCUGGGGGAGGGUUCGGGAAAGCAUCCCCGAGGAUGGAGAGAAGAGAGCCAGGUGGAGGUGAGGCAGAGAGCAUAGAUGACACACGGUGGGUAAGGGGUUGGGGAUAAAGUGGCUCCGGUGGAUACUUUGGUAUGUCUGCAGUGUCAAGUAUGAGGGGAAAUACAGAGAUGGAUCCAGAGGUAUGGAGAGAACCCAAGCUUCCAGGGCCCAGGAUUGUCUCCCUGUUGGGAGUUCUGUCCCUCAGAUGUUGAUACAAUGGACGCUGUCAUCACCAAAGAGAAGGUGCUAGUGCAGUCCUCACAGUUAGAGUUAGAACCUGAACUACAUUCCCCCAUAGAAACAGCGUGUUAAAUGGUAGCUCCAUGUAGUUAGAAUACCCCUACAAAGAACACCUUCAAGUGCAUUUUAAACAAGUAAAAUAUAGAAAAAUAAGGGGAAACGGAUUCUGUUUCUAGGCUUGUCCUUUGUAACACAGAGCUCUGUACUUCUUGCUCUGGCCAUCUGAGCCUACACUGGAUCCACAGGUUGGCUCUGCGUGGCCCACGCUGUUUGGAUUUGCAAUGUCUGGUCCGGUGGGGGUCUCUCCUGAGUGCUUCUAUGGCUCCCUUGCUCCCUGCUGGUUGAUACCUGGCCCACUUCUUCACACUGAUGUUACCUAACUUGGCCCCUGGAGACAAUGAACGUGGGGACCCUUUCUCUAGGCAGCAGAGGCGAGAGAUAGUAUCAUCGUUUCUGUCUGAUUCAUCCUUGCUGUUAGUCCCUAUGUGAGGUCAAGCAUGAUAAUUGAGGCGGAGUUUGGAGGUGCCUUCUUGCUUUGCACCAAAUGCUGGUUUUUCUUUUCUCUUUCUCCAGUCCUCCUUCCUGUCUCUCAUUUUGUCCUGCCAAUACUUUUCUAGCUCCGUUAAAUUUAAUUCAGCAAAGGCAUAGGGGCCUGGCACUUAGCGGGCAGGGGCUAGAGAAGCACAGUGGUGACCAUAAGGAGUUUACAGUUUGGCACGAGGGGGUCGAGGACAGACAAGCGAAAGGUCCAGCUCUGUAAGGUUGGGGUCACAGCCCCACCGAGGCGGGGUCUACAAGAGUGUGGAGGAGGAGUACCUGAGCCACCUUGGAGACAGAAAGAGGCCUGAUGGGCCAGCAGGAAUUAGCUAGACAAACGUGCGUGCGCUCCAGGCAGGCACAGAGUAAAUAAAACAUGAGCCAAGGUCAGACACGUAGCAAGGUGCACUAAGGGGAGAUUGCAGGAGGGAGCCAAAGGCUGGGAGCAGAAAGGAGGAGGAGGUGCAAAGCCCUGAGAGCUGAGGAUGGAGAGGCCAGCUCCUGCCUUUCAGUCUCUCCCUAGAAGGGUUUUAGGGUAGUACUUAGCACCUCCUGGCAGCACUCUGAGCUGAGAUGGGCAUUGGUUUUUGUCCUCUGGAAAGUCUGUAUUUUUCAAAUGUUUCCUUAGAGGAAAGGGUCCCUGGAGAGUGGAGGGGCUGAGCCUGCAUUGGCAGGAAAAGUGGAUUAAAAGCAGGCCAAACCCAAAAUAGCUCCUGGGGUUGACCAGAUGGAAAUUAGAUUGCUGGCCUGUGUGGGUGUAACCCUGGGGAGGCCAGCCAAACGGUGAGAAGGGAAUGAUCCCUUCUAGAGAGUGUAGGAGACAAUGUUGUGGUCCGGGUCCUAACUCAACAAAUGUCACAAAAAGCAUAACCUAAGCAAGCCACAACUUUAAAAAAAGAUUCAAAAUGCAAAGGAUUUUCCAGCGCCUGUAGGAGAAAGCUUACUCUAAUAGUAGAUGAGUACCAAGAAGAUCACUGACUCUGCUGUUUAAAAUAUUAACACCUGGACUUGUUCGGGAAGUCACAGUCUAGAGGCAGCUUUCUACUCCUUCCUGCUGGCAAGAAUUUAAGAACCAAAGCCAUUCUCCUUAGGUUGCGGUCACUAGGCUUGUGGGUGUUCCAUUAGGAAAAGGUGCCCGGGCUUAGGAAGUGAGGCAGGGUGCUGUGGAAACAUGUAACACCUAUACCGUCUUGGCUUUCUUUUCAUAACUAUUUGGGGUGCUCAUUCAUGAUGCCAGCCUCUCAGCUGGCUCAGGGCUGCCCAGCAUCCCCACGGGCACCCCUGAGGCAGGCGGGUCUGAUUUCCUCUUCUGAAAGCUGCAGGAUGUAACAGCUCGGGUGUGAGGGUGUGAGCACUCCCCUCAUCCUUGUGAGAAGGACAGGCUUUGGGAAAGGAGGUUCAGACUUUCAGUAAACAGGACGGGCUUUCUUAAGCUUCUCGGAAACGCCUGGACCUGACACUUGUCAUCUGCUACUAAAUUUGGCCGUUUCAUUUUCCUUACUCAGGAUAUAUUGGCAACCAUGGCACACAUUCCGGGAUGAAGUUAGAUAAACAACUUGGCUGCUGAGGAUUUUUACCUGUUACGGCUCCAAGAAAUAUCCAGUGUUCUAAGCACGACUCAGGGCAAUUUCAACCAAAGUGUUAAGAAUAGAAAAGAUCAGUAGUCUAGUUGAUCUCUUUCCCACCCCAUGAUUUUCAUUAGUCUCAAUAAGCUGCUAGAGGUAAGUUUUUGCCCUUUCAGCUUUGAUGUUGCAUGUAAGCUAAUUCCUGUGUUUGGGUAAGACCGUGGAGAGUUCCAGUAUCACCUCCACCCUCCACCUGGGUGGGAAGAACGCAUCUCCCCCACCUUGAAUAUGCAGAGCACCUGUGCACGCCACUGUCCCAGCACUAACUGCUGAUAGCAUAUUGUUUGUUCACCAGUCUGUCUCCCCCGCUGCUCCUGGAACCCCGCCAGGGAUCAUCUCUCCUUCGUUCUUGAAUUCUCAAAAUGAGCCCAGUGCCUGGUGCAUACUUGUGUGCCUGGUGCACACAUACUUGAUACCAAGCACUCCUCCCGAUUCUGGGGGAUGAUGCUUUUGGCUGCCGACUGACAAAGGAAUAGGCCAAAAGGGCUCAUGGAAAGGCAGCUAGGAGAUAGGGGAAGGAGCAAAGGAUUUGAAGACCAAAGAUCCUUCUUUUGUUUAGUAGCUGUUUCUGUCACUCUGAGCAAAUCAUCAGUUUGACAUUUUGUUCCCCAAAAAGUGAUCAUCCUGCUUUCCUAGUUUUGGGAGAGAGGAGUAAAUGAUGUAAUAGAUAUGAAAAUGCUUUCUUAAAAAAAGAAAGAAAAAGGAAGAAAGAAAGAAAGAAAAAGAAAGAAAGAAGAAAGAAAGAAAAAGAAAGGAAAAGAAAGAAAGAAAGAAAAGAAAGAAAGAAAAGAAAAAGAAAAGAAAGAAAAAAAGAAUGAAAGAAAAAAUGCUCUCUCAACUGUGAUGGGUUUUAUGUAAGAGAAGCAUUUUUUUACCUGCCAAUUGGGACAGCCACGUUUUUGUGUAGUUCCCUCACAUUCUGAGUGACCUCAGGCAGGUCAAUUAUUUAGCCUAUCAUGGAUGCUUCCUGGGUAAGGAAGCUGUCAUUUUUGUCUUCCUGGGUCCUUGUGAGGAUCAAAAGAGAUAAUGCAUAUGAAUCUGGUUUGGAGAUUAUUAAAGUCUAUGAACUGGAGUCAUGAUAUUGUUUGAUAAGGUGGGAUGAGUAUAGGGCCUGCAUUCCCCGCUGUCCUCCACCCCGUCCCUAUCUUCCCACCAUCAGUCCUGGGUGCACAUAUGUGUGUGCACUUACUGUGGUGCCAGGAGGCAAGAGCCCAACCAUCUCCAAUUGCUGGCAGUCACGGUCCCAUCCUUACAAGAACCGGAUGGGUGAGACUCUUGGUAGUCGGCCAUGAGGACUGGACGUGGAGGACCGCCAAAGCUGCUUCUGCCGAAAUCCCACAUUUUGAGGAGAUGCAUCCAGGUGCAUAAACAGACACAUACAUUUCUGACAUAUCUGCCCCCAAAUCAGACAUCGGUAACAUUUGUCACUCUUCAAUAAACAAGAUCAGCUUUUUCUGCUAGCUGGAUAGUAUAAACAGUCAGGGUUCUCAGCUGUGCACUGAAAACAAAGCACUUCAAAGCAUGAUUAAGUAGAACCUUAAGAACCAGGAUCCUCAGUUCACCAGAAUUAUGUUGCUGCAUUUAGUAUUCAUGAGAACGAUUAGUAAGCAACACACAAAGCUUGUAUGUCAAGAUAAUGGAUUAGGAUAAUAUUUGUGCUUUGUGCUGCAAUAGAAGAAUGCACUUGAAUGAGACUCUGUUGUGCGUCACUUAUUCUAUCCCAGCUUUCUCGUUCUAAGAAAGUAGGUCGUUUAGGGACGCUUGACUGUGAACUCCUGAGGCAGCAGAGAGAGAUAAGGAUUUUGGGGUGUGCAAGUGAAAGCUGAGAGGGAGGGGGAGCGAUCCUGAGACUGGGGUGCUGGUGGAGAUGGGUGGGUCUGCUGAGUCACGGCAGCCUCACCUCCUCUCUGUCCACAUCCAGCCUUAGCAAUGAGACCUUGGGCAGAAAUGGUUGUGGAGAGUUCUCAGAGGGCUUGAGUCCAGGAAAUGGGGAUGCUGGCCCCAGUAAUAAUUGGCUUCUUCCGCCCCUGGCAUGGGCUAGGGAGUACCAGGCACUAGGACUUCAGAAGGCCAUGUUGGCUCCUUGUAUGAUCCUGGUAGGUCAGAAAGGCACAAAGAUUAAAUUUUGGAAUCAUUGUGCAGUGCUGGAGUGGAUAAAAAAUAAAUAAAUAUGAUAUUUCUUGGAAAGCUGAAUUUGUUUGCAAACUUAGCCUCCCUUGGUUAGCAGUAUUUAUUUUAGAAAUGCAAUUUCCAGGGGGUUCUGUGAGGUCAAUUGAUAUCCUCCAGUUUCCAGCAUCUACAUCUUCAGGAUGGUAGGUGGGGGUGGAGCAAGAGGAGAACUGACAAUCCAGUUUCAGAACUCAGGGUAGUGGGAUGUGGAAGAGACUGUGGUUCACCGG
This 5253-nucleotide long non-coding RNA is filed under the name Canis lupus familiaris (dog). Its description in RNAcentral is "lncRNA (ENSCAFG00845009855.1)". The record is from RNAcentral. Lineage: Eukaryota; Metazoa; Chordata; Mammalia; Carnivora; Canidae.